AGCAGCCGCGGUAAUUCCAGCUCCAAUAGCGUAUAUUAAAGUCGUUGCAGUUAAAAAGCUCGUAGUUGAAUUUCGGGAUCAAUUCUUCGGUCGUGCUUUCGGGUACGUACUGGGGUUAUUGGUUUCUCCCUUCUGACGAACCAUGAUGUCAUUAAUUUGGUGUUAUGGGGAGUUAGGACUGUUACUUUGAAAAAUUAGAGUGUUUAAAGCAGGCAUUAGCUUGAAUACAUUAGCAUGGAAUGAUGAAAUAGUACGUUCGAUCCUAUUUUGUUGGUUUCUAGGAUCAACGUAAUGAUUAAUAGGGAUAGUUGGGGGCAUUAGUAUUCAAUUAUCAGAGGUGAAAUUCUUGGAUUUAUUGAAGACUAACUACUGCGAAAGCAUUUGCCAAGGAUGUUUUCAUUAAUCAAGAACGAAAGUUAGGGGAUCGAAGACGAUCAGAUACCGUCGUAGUCUUAACCGUAAACUAUGCCGACUAGGGAUCGGGAUGGAUUGUUAAUUUUUUAAUGUACUUUCGGCGC
RNAcentral lists this ribosomal RNA (518 nucleotides) under uncultured Glomus. RNAcentral's name for it is "SSU rRNA". It matches the Rfam family "Eukaryotic small subunit ribosomal RNA", at positions 569 to 1086 of the family's 1831-position model. Lineage: Eukaryota; Fungi; Glomeromycota; Glomeromycetes; Glomerales; Glomeraceae. The record is from RNAcentral.